RNAcentral lists this ribosomal RNA (468 nucleotides) under uncultured bacterium. Its description in RNAcentral is "partial 16S ribosomal RNA". It matches the Rfam family "Bacterial small subunit ribosomal RNA", at positions 28 to 523 of the family's 1533-position model. The record is from RNAcentral.
GAUGAACGCUGGCGGCGUGCCUAACACAUGCAAGUCGAGCGAUUUACUUCGGUAAAGAGCGGCGGACGGGUGAGUAACGCGUGGGUAACCUGCCCUGUACACACGGAUAACAUACUGAAAGGUAUGCUAAUACGGGAUAACAUAAAAGAGUCGCAUGGCUUUCUUAUCAAAGCUUUUGCGGUACAGCAUGGACCCGCGUCUGAUUAGCGAGUUGGUAAGGUAACGGCUUACCAAGGCGACGAUCAGUAGCCGACCUGAGAGGGUGAUCGGCCACAUUGGAACUGAGACACGGUCCAAACUCCUACGGGAGGCAGCAGUGGGGAAUAUUGCACAAUGGGCGAAAGCCUGAUGCAGCAACGCCGCGUGAGCGAUGAAGGCCUUCGGGUCGUAAAGCUCUGUCCUCAAGGAAGAUAAUGACGGUACUUGAGGAGGAAGCCCCGGCUAACUACGUGCCAGCCGCCGCCGUAA